Malania oleifera is the source of this 3136-nucleotide RNA transcript. It is a transcript of the gene named casein kinase 1-like protein HD16, with no coding region annotated. NCBI's taxonomy places the organism in Eukaryota, Viridiplantae, Streptophyta, Magnoliopsida, Santalales, Ximeniaceae. The transcript has 20 exons. The record is from RefSeq and is a predicted model, not a curated record.
UUUUUUUAAAUCCAGAGGGCGUUUCCAUUUCUCUGUCUCCCAAUACUCGAAGCCACAUUCUUCUUGUUUCCCUCCACAGAUCUCUGAAAUCUCUCUCAUCAAACCCUAAUUUUCUCUCUCUAAACCUUCGAUCAUCUACUUUCCGUCGCAAUCCCUUGCCGAUCAGAAAGCUCUAGCUUUGCGCUCUGCAUCUGCGUUUACUCUGCGCACCGAUCGACUCGUCGUUGAAUGGUGUAGAAGCUUCAUGAAGGUUCGUUGAGCGUUUGGGUACAUGCGGUUUGAUGGAUGAACGAUGCCUGAACUGCGUAGUGGGGUGCGUAGAGGCCGGGCAACGAGGAAUCCGGGUCCGAUCGGAGGCAAAGACGCGGUGACGACUCGUCAGAGACGAAGAACGAGAGCUCAGGGUAGGAAGAACGAGGGUCUUGAUACGACGCCUUUUUGGGGUAGGAAGGACCAAGAUAACAAGAUUCUGUGCGUCACGGGCGCUGAGAUCAGGGAGCAGGUUGAGGAAAAGGAAAUGGACGACGAUAGUGGUCGCAGCGGCGAUAGGGGUGCGGGCGCUGAGGAUGAGGGAAGCACAGCUCCUCUUCCCGAGAAGGUCCAGGUUGGUGGUUCCCCAACAUAUAGGAUUGAAAAGAAACUGGGGAAAGGAGGCUUUGGGCAAGUCUAUGUUGGUCGACGCAUUACUGGUGCAAAUCCAAGUGAAAGAACUGGCCCAGGAGCUUUAGAAGUGGCCUUGAAAUUUGAGCAUAGGUCCAGCAAAGGAUGUAAUUAUGGACCACCAUAUGAGUGGCAAGUUUACAAUGCACUUGGUGGCAGUCAUGGUGUACCUCGUGUACAUUACAAGGGACGGCAAGGUGAUUAUUAUGUGAUGGUUAUGGAUAUGCUUGGACCUAGCUUGUGGGAUGUUUGGAAUAACAAUUCUCACACGAUGUCCAUUGAAAUGGUUGCCUGUAUUGCCAUCGAAGCAAUCUCAAUAUUGGAGAAGAUGCACUCUAGAGGAUACGUACAUGGGGAUGUAAAACCCGAAAACUUUUUGCUUGGUCCUCCAGGAACACCGGAAGAGAAAAAACUGUUUCUUGUUGACCUUGGAUUAGCGACCAGGUGGAAAGAUAGUUCAACAGGCCUACAUGUUGAAUAUGACCAGCGACCUGAUGUAUUUAGGGGAACAGUGCGCUAUGCUAGUGUGCAUGCUCAUCUUGGUAGAACUGGUAGCAGGAGAGAUGACUUGGAAUCUCUUGCUUACACGCUCAUUUUUCUACUCCGUGGCAGAUUGCCUUGGCAAGGAUACCAGGGAGAGAAUAAAGGUUUUCUUGUUUGCAAGAAGAAGAUGGCAACUUCUCCAGAAACGCUCUGUUGUUUUUGCCCUCAGCCUUUUCGGCAAUUUGUUGAGUAUGUAGUGAACUUGAAGUUUGAUGAGGAACCAAACUAUGCGAAAUAUAUUUCCCUUUUUGAUGGGAUUGUUGGUCCAAAUCCAGAUAUUAGGCCAAUUAACACUGAUGGUGCCCAGAAGCUUAUAUAUCAAGUUGGGCAUAAGAGGGGAAGGUUGACGAUGGAGGAGGAAGAUGACGAGCAACCAAAGAAAAAGAUCCGGAUGGGGAUGCCUGCAACCCAAUGGAUCAGUGUUUACAAUGCCCGCCGGCCAAUGAAGCAGAGAUAUCACUACAAUGUGGCAGAUGUGAGGCUUUCCCAACACAUAGAUAAAGGAAAUGAAGAUGGGCUAUUUAUCAGCAGUGUUGCUUCUUCUUCAAACCUAUGGGCUCUCAUCAUGGAUGCUGGCACUGGAUUUAGUGCUCAAGUUUAUGAACUCUCACCUUAUUUUCUCCACAAGGAAUGGAUUAUGGAACAGUGGGAGAAGAAUUAUUACAUCAGUGCAAUAGCAGGAGCUAAUAAUGGGAGUUCCUUAGUAGUAAUGUCUAAGGGCACCCAGUAUUUACAGCAGUCCUACAAAGUCAGCGAGUCAUUUCCAUUUAAGUGGAUAAAUAAGAAAUGGAGGGAGGGUUUCUAUGUCACAGCCAUGGCCACAGCAGGAAGUAGAUGGGCAAUUGUUAUGUCUCGUGGUGCAGGAUUUUCUGACCAGGUUGUGGAGUUAGAUUUUCUGUAUCCUAGUGAAGGUAUUCAUCGGCGAUGGGAUUGUGGUUAUCGCAUCACAUCAACUGCAGCAACUUGGGAUCAGGCUGCUUUUGUUCUUAGUGUGCCAAGAAGAAAACCAACAGAUGAAACCCAAGAGACACUACGAACGUCUGCAUUUCCUAGCACACAUGUUAAGGAGAAGUGGGCAAAAAAUCUUUAUAUUGCUUCUGUUUGCUAUGGUCGGACUGUUUCCUGAGCUUGAAAAGUUUUUCUGGAAAUCAGGCUUCUGUAUUUUGAUUGUUCGCUUUCAGGGCUGCAAGCCACCUCUCACCUUCUCUGUCAUGUUUGGAGCGAAAAUUCCUCAGAAGCCAAGCAGACUCAUUAUGGCAUUUGGAUUUGAUUAUGACGGCAGUUGUUUUCAAGCUUUUGAUUUGCCCUGGAAGCAAGUUAUAAAGUUAAAGAUGAGGGCCUUUGCUUAUUUGGCUGAAGAGAACUUACCCCUAUCCUUCGUUUGAAAAGACUGAAUCUGAAGCAAGCAUUAUCCAUAUUGGGUGCACUUGGUAUCCAGAAUGGUGUUGCUGAAGAAAGUGGAGUUGCCUCCCAAGUGAUGGUAGGUUAUUGUCUUGAGGGAUCUCGGCGAACCUUCGAUGUCUACAAUUGUUUGCUGCUACUUCUCUUGAAUGACUUCAUCUCAGAAGAUGUUAAUUAACAAGAUUCAUUUAUUGAUUGGAACUUGAUUGCAUUGAAACCUGAAUGCCUGAACCUAGACCUCCAUUUGCUUUUUUGGCUUGGUCAAGCAAAUGUGCUAGGCUUAGAGGAAUGUUCAUUUUUUUUUUUCACUUUUCCUUUAUCAUUGUUUUUACUUUUAUUUUCUUUCAUGGUAUUCUUUUGCAUGAUCACCUAGUGACUUGUCCUGGGGGUGGUUGUGCUGUAUUGCUUGUUUAUUCACCUUACAAGGGUUUGAAAUCUGGGUUUUUAGUUUUUUUUUUCUUUGCCUUAAUGACUAAUGUAGGUUACUAGUUUUCGUCUUCAAAUACUACCAGCAUUUAGAUUCCUGCAGACC